GGGGAUUUAGCUCAGCGGUAGAGCGCUUGCCUAGCAAGUGCAAGACCCUGGGUUCGGUCCCCAGCCCUG
RNAcentral lists this transfer RNA (69 nucleotides) under Rattus norvegicus (Norway rat). It matches the Rfam family "tRNA". From Rfam's summary of the family: Transfer RNA (tRNA) molecules are approximately 80 nucleotides in length. Their secondary structure includes four short double-helical elements and three loops (D, anti-codon, and T loops). Lineage: Eukaryota; Metazoa; Chordata; Mammalia; Rodentia; Muridae. The record is from Rfam by way of RNAcentral.